UUGGUAGAGAGCCAUCUAGGCGAGGGCACUUGACUGUUAAUCAAGAUGAAGCAGGGUUCGAAUCCCUGUCUACCAGCCAA
RNAcentral lists this transfer RNA (80 nucleotides) under Pseudomonas phage Astolliot. RNAcentral describes it as "tRNA-Asn". It matches the Rfam family "tRNA". From Rfam's summary of the family: Transfer RNA (tRNA) molecules are approximately 80 nucleotides in length. Their secondary structure includes four short double-helical elements and three loops (D, anti-codon, and T loops). Lineage: Duplodnaviria; Heunggongvirae; Uroviricota; Caudoviricetes; Vandenendeviridae. The record is from RNAcentral.